AAGGAUGUACUAAAAU
This 16-nucleotide small RNA is filed under the name Arabidopsis thaliana (thale cress). RNAcentral's name for it is "ATSL113420". Lineage: Eukaryota; Viridiplantae; Streptophyta; Magnoliopsida; Brassicales; Brassicaceae. The record is from RNAcentral.